Molecule: ribosomal RNA, 1169 nt
Filed under: uncultured Bacteroides sp.
Lineage: Bacteria; Pseudomonadati; Bacteroidota; Bacteroidia; Bacteroidales; Bacteroidaceae
Description: bacterial SSU rRNA
Rfam family: Bacterial small subunit ribosomal RNA
Source: RNAcentral
AGUUUGAUCCUGGCUCAGGAUGAACGCUAGCUACAGGCUUAACACAUGCAAGUCGAGGGGCAGCAUUGGAGUAGCAAUACUUCAGAUGGCGACCGGCGCACGGGUGAGUAACACGUAUCCAACCUGCCGCUUACUCGGGGAUAGCCUUUCGAAAGAAAGAUUAAUACCCGAUGGUAUAAAGAGUUCGCAUGUUCUCUUUAUUAAAGAAUUUCGGUAAGCGAUGGGGAUGCGUUCCAUUAGAUUGUUGGCGGGGUAACGGCCCACCAAGUCUACGAUGGAUAGGGGUUCUGAGAGGAAGGUCCCCCACAUUGGAACUGAGACACGGUCCAAACUCCUACGGGAGGCAGCAGUGAGGAAUAUUGGUCAAUGGACGAGAGUCUGAACCAGCCAAGUAGCGUGAAGGAUGACUGCCCUAUGGGUUGUAAACUUCUUUUAUAAGGGAAUAAAGUGAGGGACGUGUCCCUUUUUGUAUGUACCUUAUGAAUAAGGAUCGGCUAACUCCGUGCCAGCAGCCGCGGUAAUACGGAGGAUCCAAGCGUUAUCCGGAUUUAUUGGGUUUAAAGGGAGCGUAGGUUGACAUAUAAGUCAGCUGUGAAAGUUUACGGCUCAACCGUGAAAUUGCAGUUGAUACUGUAUGUCUUGAGUGUACAAGAGGUGGGCGGAAUUCGUGGUGUAGCGGUGAAAUGCUUAGAUAUCACGAAGAACUCCAAUUGCGAAGGCAGCUCACUGGGGUACAACUGACACUGAGGCUCGAAAGUGUGGGUAUCAAACAGGAUUAGAUACCCUGGUAGUCCACACAGUAAACGAUGAAUACUCGCUGUUUGCGAUAUACAGUAAGCGGCCAAGCGAAAGCAUUAAGUAUUCCACCUGGGGAGUACGCCGGCAACGGUGAAACUCAAAGGAAUUGACGGGGGCCCGCACAAGCGGAGGAACAUGUGGUUUAAUUCGAUGAUACGCGAGGAACCUUACCCGGGCUUGAAUUGCAGAGGAAUAUAGUUGAAAGAUUAUAGCCGCAAGGUCUCUGUGAAGGUGCUGCAUGGUUGUCGUCAGCUCGUGCCGUGAGGUGUCGGCUUAAGUGCCAUAACGAGCGCAACCCUUAUCAUUAGUUACUAACAGGUCAUGCUGAGGACUCUAGUGAGACUGCCGUCGUAAGAUGUGAGGAAGGUGGA